Molecule: ribosomal RNA, 223 nt
Filed under: uncultured Microbacterium sp.
Lineage: Bacteria; Bacillati; Actinomycetota; Actinomycetes; Micrococcales; Microbacteriaceae
Description: partial 16S ribosomal RNA
Rfam family: Bacterial small subunit ribosomal RNA
Source: RNAcentral
UGUUGCCAGCACGUAAUGGUGGGAACUCAUGGGAUACUGCCGGGGUCAACUCGGAGGAAGGUGGGGAUGACGUCAAAUCAUCAUGCCCCUUAUGUCUUGGGCUUCACGCAUGCUACAAUGGCCGGUACAAAGGGCUGCAAUACCGCGAGGUGGAGCGAAUCCCAAAAAGCCGGUCCCAGUUCGGAUUGAGGUCUGCAACUCGACCUCAUGAAGUCGGAGUCGC